AGAGAGAGACAUGCGCGCAUAUCAAUAAGCGGAGGAAAAGGAACUAACAAGGAUUCCCUUAGUAACGGCGAGUGAAGCGGGAAGAGCUCAAAUUUGAAAUCUUCAAGGUUCUACCUUGACGAAUUGUAGUUUAUAGAAGUGUUUUCUGUUAGUGGAGUGGCAAAAGUUCUUUGGAAUAGGACAUCAUAGAGGGUGAGAAUCCCGUAUUUGGUCAUUCCUCCUAGCGUUGUGAUACACUUUCAACGAGUCGGAUUGUUUGGGAAUGCAGUCCAAAAUGGGUGGUAAAUUUCAUCUAAAGCUAAAUAUUGGCGAGAGACCGAUAGCGAACAAGUACCGUGAGGGAAAGAUGAAAAGAACUUUGAAAAGAGAGUUAAACAGUACGUGAAAUUGUCAAAAGGGAAGCGUUUGACACCAGUGUUGUUUUUCCGAAAAUCAAUUACGAAUGUUUUGUUUUUGAGGAGUUAUGACUUCAUCGGCUUGCUUCUUUCUUUACGAAACUUUCUUAAUGCACUUUUCGGUUAACAAGUCAACAUCAAUUUCUUUUGUUGUAAAAGGGUAUGAGGAAGGUGGCUUUCUUUUCGGAGAAAGUGUUUAUAGCCUUGUAGCCUCUGCAAUCGGAGAGAUUGAGGUCUGCAGCGUAGAUCCUUCGGGGCUAGAUACAUUUGUGCUAAGUUAUAGCUUUUCAUAGACAACUUGUUGACUAUGUUUAGUCUUGUAGCUUACUCGCUGACGCUAUUUUACCUACGCUUAGGAUGUUGAUAGUCACAGCGUGUAC
RNAcentral lists this ribosomal RNA (775 nucleotides) under uncultured Neocallimastigales. Its description in RNAcentral is "partial large subunit ribosomal RNA". It matches the Rfam family "Eukaryotic large subunit ribosomal RNA", at positions 23 to 644 of the family's 3401-position model. The record is from RNAcentral. Lineage: Eukaryota; Fungi; Neocallimastigomycota; Neocallimastigomycetes; Neocallimastigales.